This 1202-nucleotide long non-coding RNA is filed under the name Calidris pugnax (ruff). RNAcentral describes it as "lncRNA (ENSCPUG00000007321.1)". The record is from RNAcentral. Lineage: Eukaryota; Metazoa; Chordata; Aves; Charadriiformes; Scolopacidae.
UCCCGCGGUUGGGGGCAGAGGCAGCGGGGCGGGCCCCGGCCGAGCGGGCCCAGCUGCGCCAAGGGGGAUGCGGCGCGGGAUGGCGGUCGGCCUCCCGCUCCCGGCGCCCUGACAGGAUCGGGCCGGCGGCCCUCCCUUUUUCCCUUCUCCUCCUCCGCGGGGCUGGAGCCUCCCCUGGGCAGCGCCCCCAGCUCCUCCCCGCUCGGUAGCGCCGUGUCCGAGCCCCUCCUCCCGUUUCCGCUGGUAGGAGCUGGAUCCGUGUCCUGCUGUAGCCCCACGUUCGGCCCCAUCCGCCCCGGCCUGGCCCGGCCCGGCUCGGCUCGGCUUAGGGAGGCGCGGGACUUCUGGUUUGGAAGGCAGCCCGGACUCCUGACCUCCUUCUGCUGUGAACAGUGGAUUGGACAGAUUGCCUAUUUGUUAAGUACAGUUCCCCACUCAUGUAGACAACAUGGUGAAAGAUGCAAGUUUCUGAGGAACUUGCAGGAUGUCUGUUCCUUGCAUCAUCAUUUGUUACAACAACCUUGUACGUACCUGAGUCUUGUAGUGAGUCUUGGAGGGCAUGAACUGAGCUCUUCAGUUGCAUUUGCCUAUGAGUUUUUGUCUCACCAGUUCUGAUCUGUCAAAAGAUUCUUGUUUCUUUGAGUUUGUUAUCAACGUUUACCUUGGUCGACAGCAAGACCUUUUUCUUCUAACAGUUUCCUUGCAAGCGUUUGAUUUUCCUUUCUUAAUUUUACUGUAUGGACCUGUCUUACAUCAACCAGCAUAUCUGUGAUGUGGCGAGGACCACUACCUGGAACUGGAUUACAUGACUUGAAGGACUCUUCUUAGACUAUUUCUGCCUUUGCUGCAGAUUAUGCUGUGUUCAUAGCAGGCUUACAUCAGCGGUGAAUGAAGUUAAUCUUUAAAUGUAGUUGACAGUGUACUGCUAGUGGAGUCAGUUUGACUAAGUAGCCAACAUCUAUGCAGUGGAAUCAUGGGAAACUUGGAUUAUUUCAUUCUUGAAAUUAUUUUUAUAUUAAUCUUUACUAAGACACAUUUGACUUCAAUACGAUUAAUUCAGUUGCUGAAAUAGAGUUGCCUCUUGUGUCCCUAGCUCCCAGUUCCAAACCUAGGCAGCUGGUUUGGUUGGUUGCCUGCAUGUGCUUGACGUAGAGCCUGACAUCAGCAGUGAGCCUGGUGUUCGUAUAGUCUUAGUUCACUUC